RNAcentral lists this ribosomal RNA (256 nucleotides) under uncultured bacterium. RNAcentral's name for it is "partial 16S ribosomal RNA". It matches the Rfam family "Bacterial small subunit ribosomal RNA", at positions 521 to 776 of the family's 1533-position model. The record is from RNAcentral.
UAAUACGAAGGGGGCUAGCGUUGCUCGGAAUUACUGGGCGUAAAGGGAGCGUAGGCGGGUUAUCAAGUUGGAGGUGAAAGCCCAGGGCUCAACCUUGGAAUUGCCUUCAAAACUGAUAACCUUGAGUAUGGGAGAGGUAAGUGGAACUCCGAGUGUAGAGGUGAAAUUCGUAGAUAUUCGGAAGAACACCAGUGGCGAAGGCGACUUACUGGACCAUUACUGACGCUGAGGCUCGAAAGCGUGGGGAGCAAACAGG